This 432-nucleotide ribosomal RNA is filed under the name uncultured bacterium. Its description in RNAcentral is "bacterial SSU rRNA". It matches the Rfam family "Bacterial small subunit ribosomal RNA", at positions 33 to 507 of the family's 1533-position model. The record is from RNAcentral.
ACGCUGGCGGUGUGCUUCACACAUGCAAGUCGAACGAGGUAGCAAUACCUAGUGGCGGACGGGUGAGUAACGCGUGGGAAUCUGCCUUUAGAUGGGGGAUAACGAGCCGAAAGGUUCGCUAAUACCGCAUAUGCCGCAAGGUGAAAGGAGUAAUCCGUCUGAAGAUGAGCCCGCGUCCGAUUAGCUAGUUGGUGGGGUAAAGGCCUACCAAGGCGACGAUCGGUAGCUGGUCUGAGAGGAUGAUCAGCCACAAUGGGACUGAGACACGGCCCAUACUCCUACGGGAGGCAGCAGUGGGGAAUUUUACGCAAUGGGGAAACCCUGACGUAGCGACACCGCGUGAGCGAAGAAGCCCCCUUGGGGUGUAAAGCUCUGUCAGCUGGAACGAAACAAAUGACGGUACCAGCAGAGGAAGCAUCGGCUAACUACGUG